RNAcentral lists this ribosomal RNA (450 nucleotides) under uncultured fungus. Its description in RNAcentral is "eukaryotic LSU rRNA". The stretch from base 137 to 290 matches the Rfam family "5.8S ribosomal RNA". Lineage: Eukaryota; Fungi. The record is from RNAcentral.
UCUUGGUCNAUUAGAGGAAGUAAAAGUCGUAACAAGGUUUCCGUAGGUGAACCUGCGGAAGGAUCAUUAUUGAUGUCAUGUGGGAUAUAUUACAAACGCUAGUGUUGUCAAUGAAUGAUGUUAUACAUAAUGCAAUAACUUUUAGCAACGGAUCUCUUGGCUCUCGCAUCGAUGAAGAACGCAGCGAAAUGCGAUAAGUAAUGUGAAUUGCAGAAUUCAGUGAAUCAUCGAAUCUUUGAACGCACCUUGCGCCCUUUGGGUUUACCCUGGGCAUGCUGGAUUGUGAGCGCCUUAUACAUCUUGCCUACGGCAGAGUUGAGCGUGUUGCCGGCUUGCCGGCUCGCUCUGAAUGCAUGAGCGACCCUAUGCUCGAAGCAACGUGAUAAGUAUUUCGUUGUGGAGAGAGUAAGGACGCUUCGAAUCGUCCCUUGGACACUUUCGAAUGCGAGG